RNAcentral lists this ribosomal RNA (649 nucleotides) under uncultured Planctomycetota bacterium. RNAcentral's name for it is "bacterial SSU rRNA". It matches the Rfam family "Bacterial small subunit ribosomal RNA", at positions 8 to 668 of the family's 1533-position model. Lineage: Bacteria; Pseudomonadati; Planctomycetota. The record is from RNAcentral.
AGAGUUUGAUCAUGGCUCAGAAUGAACGUUGGCGGCGUGGAUUAGGCAUGCAAGUCGAGCGAGAAGCCUCCUUCGGGAGGUGGAAAGCGGCGAACGGGAGAGUAACGCGUGGAGUAUCUACCCUCGGGUCUGGGAUAGCUGCGGGAAACUGCAGGUAAUACCGGAUAACGUCUCCGGACCAAAGGUGUGAUUCCGCCUGAGGACGGCUCCGCGUCCUAUUAGCUUGUUGGUGGGGUAACGGCCUACCAAGGCUGCGAUGGGUACCGGGUGUGAGAGCAUGACCCGGCUCACUGGGACUGAGACACUGCCCAGACACCUAAGGUGGCUGCAGUCGAGAAUCUUCGGCAAUGGGCGCAAGCCCGACCGAGCGACGCCGCGUGCGGGAUGAAGGCUUUCGGGUUGUAAACCGCUGUCAGAGGGGAUGAAAUGCCGGUGGGUUAUCCUGCCGGUUUGACAAAUCCUCAGAGGAAGUACGGGCUAAGUUCGUGCCAGCAGCCGCGGUAAGACGAACCGUACGAACGUUAUUCGGAAUCACUGGGCUUAAAGGGUGCGUAGGCGGCCCGGCAAGUUGGGUGUGAAAUCCCUCGGCUCAACCGAGGAAUUGCGCUCAAUACUGCCGGGCUGGAGGGAGACAGAGGUGAGCGGAACU